AUUGAACGCUGGCGGCAUGCCUAACACAUGCAAGUCGAACGGCAGCACGGGAAGAUCUUCCUCUUGCCGAUUGCGGGUGGCGGGAGGGUUACAACUGAAUAGGAAUCUUCUUUGUCGUGGGUCAGAACGUAGGGAAACUUAUACUACUACCGCAUAACGCCUACCGGCGGGAGCACUAGAUCUUGCGCGCUUUCGCGUUUGCCUUAGCCGGUUUCGCAUUAGCUAGUUGGCGGGGUAAAGUCCUACCAAGGCGACGAUCCGUAGCGGGUCUGAGAGGAUGAUCAGCCACACUGGAACUGAGACACGGUCCAGACUCCUACGGGAGGCAGCAGUGGGGAAUAUUGGACAAUGGGCGAAAGCCUGAUCCAGCAAUGCCGCGUGGGUGAAGAAGGCCUUCGGGUUGUAAAGCACUUUUGUUGGGAAAGAAAAGCUGUACGAUAAUACAGUCGUGUGAUGACGGUACCGAAAGAAUAAGCACCGGCUAACUACGUG
Molecule: ribosomal RNA, 492 nt
Filed under: uncultured bacterium
Lineage: Bacteria
Description: partial 16S ribosomal RNA
Rfam family: Bacterial small subunit ribosomal RNA
Source: RNAcentral